Long non-coding RNA from Sapajus apella (tufted capuchin), 92 nucleotides. RefSeq lists it as uncharacterized. NCBI's taxonomy places the organism in Eukaryota, Metazoa, Chordata, Mammalia, Primates, Cebidae. The record is from RefSeq and is a predicted model, not a curated record. The transcript is spliced from 3 exons.
GCUGCUUACUUGAUGCCAUGAGUGUCCAACCUUUAGGCUUCCCUGGGCCACAUUGGAAGAAGAAUUGUCUUGGGCCACACAUAAAAUAUACU